AUUGAACGCUGGCGGCAUGCUUUACACAUGCAAGUCGAACGGUAACAGGUCUUCGGAUGCUGACGAGUGGCGAACGGGUGAGUAAUACAUCGGAACGUGCCUAGUAGUGGGGGAUAACUACUCGAAAGAGUAGCUAAUACCGCAUGAGAUCUACGGAUGAAAGCAGGGGACCUUCGGGCCUUGUGCUACUAGAGCGGCUGAUGGCAGAUUAGGUAGUUGGUGGGGUAAAGGCUUACCAAGCCUGCGAUCUGUAGCUGUUCUGAGAGGACGACCAGCCACACUGGGACUGAGGCACGGCCCAGACUCCUACGGGAGGCAGCAGUGGGGAAUUUUGGACAAUGGGCGAAAGCCUGAUCCAGCAAUGCAGCGUGCAGGAUGAAGGCCCUCGGGUUGUAAACUGCUUUUGUACGGAACGAAAAGCCUGGGGCUAAUAUCCCCGGGUCAUGACGGUACCGUAAGAAUAAGCACCGGCUAACUACGU
RNAcentral lists this ribosomal RNA (481 nucleotides) under uncultured bacterium. RNAcentral describes it as "partial 16S ribosomal RNA". It matches the Rfam family "Bacterial small subunit ribosomal RNA", at positions 30 to 506 of the family's 1533-position model. The record is from RNAcentral.